RNAcentral lists this ribosomal RNA (1428 nucleotides) under Lachnotalea sp. AF33-28. Its description in RNAcentral is "partial 23S ribosomal RNA". It matches the Rfam family "Bacterial large subunit ribosomal RNA", at positions 1484 to 2925 of the family's 2925-position model. The record is from RNAcentral. Lineage: Bacteria; Bacillati; Bacillota; Clostridia; Lachnospirales; Lachnospiraceae.
AGCAGGAGCCGGGAAUGAAGAGCCCGGUACAAGCAGAGGACCAGUACAUCAGGAAAAUCCGGUGUACAAUGGAAGGCUGUGACGUGGACCGAACUAAAGUAGGGAAGCCUGUGAGCCAGCUGUCAAGAAAAGCCGCUAUUGUUCAUAUCGUACCCGUACCGUAAACCGACACAGGUGGAUGAGGAGAGAAUCCUAAGGCCGACGGGAGAAGCAUUGUUAAGGAACUCGGCAAAAUGACCCCGUAACUUCGGGAGAAGGGGUGCCCAUGAAGAUGGGCCGCAGAGAAUAGGCUCAAGCAACUGUUUAGCAAAAACACAGGUCUAUGCAAAACCGUAAGGUGAAGUAUAUGGGCUGACGCCUGCCCGGUGCUGGAAGGUUAAGGGGAGAGGUUAGACUUUAGGUCGAAGCUUUGAACUUAAGCCCCAGUAAACGGCGGCCGUAACUAUAACGGUCCUAAGGUAGCGAAAUUCCUUGUCGGGUAAGUUCCGACCCGCACGAAAGGCGUAAUGAUUUGAGCACUGUCUCGACAAUGCACCCGGUGAAAUUGAAAUACCAGUGAAGAUGCUGGUUACCUGCGCCAGGACGGAAAGACCCCAUGGAGCUUUACUCCAGCUUGAUACUGGGAUUCGGUAUUGCAUGUACAGGAUAGGUGGGAGGCUGUGAAGUACGGACGCCAGUCUGUAUGGAGCCGCUGUUGGGAUACCACCCUUGCGGUACUGGAUUUCUAACCUGCACCAGUGAACCUGGUGGGGGACAAUGUCAGGUGGGGAGUUUGACUGGGGCGGUCGCCUCCGAAAGAGUAUCGGAGGCGCUCAAAGGUUCCCUCAGAAUGGUCGGAAACCAUUCGAAGAGUGUAAAGGCAGAAGGGAGCUUGACUGUGACACCGACGGGUGGAACAGGUACGAAAGUAGGACUUAGUGAUCCGGUGGUAUAAAGUGGGAUUGCCAUCGCUCAACGGAUAAAAGCUACCCUGGGGAUAACAGGCUUAUCACUCCCAAGAGUUCACAUCGACGGAGUGGUUUGGCACCUCGAUGUCGGCUCAUCGCAUCCUGGGGCUGAAGUAGGUCCCAAGGGUUGGGCUGUUCGCCCAUUAAAGCGGUACGCGAGCUGGGUUCAGAACGUCGUGAGACAGUUCGGUCCCUAUCCGGCGCGGGCGUAGGAAAUUUGAGAGGAGCUGUCCUUAGUACGAGAGGACCGGGAUGGACGAACCGCCAGUGUAUCGGUUGUCGUGUCAACGGCAGAGCCGAGUAGCUGUGUUUGGUGUGGAUAAACGCUGAAGGCAUCUAAGCGUGAAGCCCCCCUCAAGAUGAGAUUUCCCUAACGCAAGUUAGUAAGACCCCUUGAAGACGACGAGGUAGAUAGGGCAGAGGUGGAAGUGCAGCAAUGUAUGGAGCUGACUGCUACUAAUAGGUCGAGGGCUUGACCAAA